GUCCACGCCCUAACGAUGUCGACUGGUUGUUGGGUGGGUAACCACUUAGUAACGAAGCUAACGCGUGAAGUCGACCGCCUGGGAGUACGGUCGCAAGAUUAAACUCAAAGGAAUUGACGGGACCCGCACAAGCGGUGGAUGAUGUGGUUUAAUUCGAUGCAACGCGAAAACCUUACCUACACUUGACAUGUCAGAAAUCCUGCAGAGAUGUGGGAGUGCCGCAAGGAAUCUGAACACAGGUGCUGCAUGGCUGUCGU
RNAcentral lists this ribosomal RNA (257 nucleotides) under uncultured bacterium. RNAcentral describes it as "partial 16S ribosomal RNA". It matches the Rfam family "Bacterial small subunit ribosomal RNA", at positions 793 to 1055 of the family's 1533-position model. The record is from RNAcentral.